RNAcentral lists this ribosomal RNA (700 nucleotides) under uncultured beta proteobacterium. RNAcentral describes it as "bacterial SSU rRNA". It matches the Rfam family "Bacterial small subunit ribosomal RNA", at positions 80 to 776 of the family's 1533-position model. Lineage: Bacteria; Pseudomonadati; Pseudomonadota; Betaproteobacteria. The record is from RNAcentral.
UCGGUCUGGCGGCGAGUGGCGAACGGGUGAGUAAUGUAUCGGAACGUGCCCAGUAGCGGGGGAUAACUACUCGAAAGAGUAGCUAAUACCGCAUACGCCCUACGGGGGAAAGGGGGGGAUCGCAAGACCUCUCACUAUUGGAGCGGCCGAUAUCGGAUUAGCUAGUUGGUGAGGUAAAGGCUCACCAAGGCGACGAUCCGUAGCUGGUUUGAGAGGACGACCAGCCACACUGGGACUGAGACACGGCCCAGACUCCUACGGGAGGCAGCAGUGGGGAAUUUUGGACAAUGGGGGCAACCCUGAUCCAGCCAUCCCGCGUGUGCGAUGAAGGCCUUCGGGUUGUAAAGCACUUUUGGCGGGAAAGAAAUCGCAUGGAUUAAUACUCUGUGUGGAUGACGGUACCUGCAGAAUAAGCACCGGCUAACUACGUGCCAGCAGCCGCGGUAAUACGUAGGGUGCAAGCGUUAAUCGGAAUUACUGGGCGUAAAGCGUGCGCAGGCAGUUCGGAAAGAAAGAUGUGAAAUCCCAGGGCUUAACCUUGGAACUGCAUUUUUAACUCCCGAGCUAGAGUGCGUCAGAGGGGGGUGGAAUUCCGCGUGUAGCAGUGAAAUGCGUAGAUAUGCGGAGGAACACCGAUGGCGAAGGCAGCCCCCUGGGAUGACACUGACGCUCAUGCACGAAAGCGUGGGGAGCAAACGGG